This 348-nucleotide unclassified non-coding RNA is filed under the name soil metagenome. RNAcentral's name for it is "partial contains 5.8S ribosomal RNA, internal transcribed spacer 2, and large subunit ribosomal RNA". The stretch from base 1 to 120 matches the Rfam family "5.8S ribosomal RNA", at positions 35 to 154 of the family's 154-position model. The record is from RNAcentral.
GAUGAAGAACGCAGCGAAAUGCGAUAAGUAAUGUGAAUUGCAGAAUUCAGUGAAUCAUCGAAUCUUUGAACGCACAUUGCGCCCGCCAGUAUUCUGGCGGGCAUGCCUGUCUGAGCGUCAUUUCAACCCUCAUGCCCCUAGGGCGUGGUGUUGGGGAUCGGCCAAAGCCCGCGAGGGACGGCCGGCCCCUAAAUCUAGUGGCGGACCCGUCGUGGCCUCCUCUGCGAAGUAGUGAUAUUCCGCAUCGGAGAGCGAUGAGCCCCUGCCGUUAAACCCCCAACUUUCCAAGGUUGACCUCAGAUCAGGUAGGAAUACCCGCUGAACUUAAGCAUACCAAUAAGCGGAGGA